AUUUAAAUAGUUUAAAUAAAACAUAAUAUUGAAGAUAUUAAAAUAAUAAUAAUUUUUAAAUA
RNAcentral lists this transfer RNA (62 nucleotides) under Eupelmus sp. ZJUH_2016012. Its description in RNAcentral is "tRNA-Phe". The record is from RNAcentral. Lineage: Eukaryota; Metazoa; Arthropoda; Insecta; Hymenoptera; Eupelmidae.